UACGUAUGGUGCAAGCGUUAUCCGGAUUUACUGGGCGUAAAGGGAGCGCAGGCGGCGCGCCAAGUCUGAUGUGAAACCCCGGGGCUCAACCCCGGGCAUGCAUUGGAAACUGGCGGGCUGGAGUGCCGGAGAGGUAAGCGGAAUUCCUAGUGUAGCGGUGAAAUGCGUAGAUAUUAGGAGGAACACCAGUGGCGAAGGCGGCUUACUGGACGGCAACUGACACUGAGGCUCGAAAGCGUGGGGAGCAAACAGG
RNAcentral lists this ribosomal RNA (253 nucleotides) under uncultured bacterium. RNAcentral describes it as "partial 16S ribosomal RNA". It matches the Rfam family "Bacterial small subunit ribosomal RNA", at positions 524 to 776 of the family's 1533-position model. The record is from RNAcentral.